RNAcentral lists this ribosomal RNA (386 nucleotides) under uncultured bacterium. RNAcentral's name for it is "bacterial SSU rRNA". It matches the Rfam family "Bacterial small subunit ribosomal RNA", at positions 28 to 416 of the family's 1533-position model. The record is from RNAcentral.
GAUGAACGCUAGCGGGAGGCCUAAUACAUGCAAGUCGAGCGGUAGAGUGACUUCGGUUGCUUGAGAGCGGCGAACGGGUGAGUAACGCGUACACAAUCUACCUUUAAGAGGGGAAUAGCCCUGGGAAACUGGGAUUAAUGCCCCAUGGCAUCACGAAGUGGCAUCGCUUUGUGAUUAAAAGCUGAGGUGCUUAGAGAUGAGUGUGCGUCUGAUUAGCUAGUUGGUGCGGUAACGGCGCACCAAGGCGACGAUCAGUAGGGGCGUGAGAGCGUGGACCCCCACACGGGUACUGAGACACGGACCCGACUCCUACGGAGGCAGCAGUAAGGAAUAUUGGUCAAUGGAGAAACGUCUGAACCAGCCAUCCCGCGUGCGAGAAGGAAUAG